GUGCCAGCCGCCUUCGGUAAUUCCAGCUCCAAUAGCGUAUAUUAAAGUUGUCGUGGUUAAAAAGCUCGUAGUUGAACCUUGGGCCUGGCUGGCCGGUCCGCCUCACCGCGUGCACUGGUCCGGCCGGGCCUUUCCCUCUGUGGAACCCCAUACCCUUCACUGGGCGUGGCGGGGAAACAGGACAUUUACUUUGAAAAAAUUAGAGUGCUCCAGGCAGGCCUAUGCUCGAAUACAUUAGCAUGGAAUAAUAAAAUAGGACGCGCGGUUCUAUUUUGUUGGUUUAUAGGACCGCCGUAAUGAUUAAUAGGGACAGUCGGGGGCAUCAGUAUUCAACUGUCAGAGGUGAAAUUCUUGGAUCAGUUGAAGACUAACUACUGCGAAAGCAUUUGCCAAGGAUGUUUUCAUUAAUCAGGAACGAAAGUUAGGGGGAUCGAAGACGAUCAGAUACCGUCGUAGUCUUAACCAUAAACUAUGCCGACUAGGGAUCGGACGGAGUUAUUCAUGACCCCGUUCUGGCACCUUACGAGAAAUCAAAGUGCUUGGGCUCCAGGGGGGAGUAUGGUCGCAAGGCUGAAACUUAAAGAAAUUGACGGAAGGGACCACCAGGGCUGAAGCCUGCGGCUUUAUUUGACUCAACUACGGGGAAACUCACCACGUCCAGACACAUAAGGAAUUGACAAGAUUGAGAGCUCUUUGCUUGAUUUUGUGGUUGUGGUUGCAUAGCCGUAUCUUUAGUUGGGCGGCGACUUGUCUGCUUAAUUAUAAUAUCCAUAUGAGACCUUAUCAGAUAAAUAACCGCAAUAUGUACGGCAUGAC
RNAcentral lists this ribosomal RNA (816 nucleotides) under uncultured fungus. Its description in RNAcentral is "bacterial SSU rRNA". It matches the Rfam family "Eukaryotic small subunit ribosomal RNA", at positions 564 to 1379 of the family's 1831-position model. The record is from RNAcentral. Lineage: Eukaryota; Fungi.